GCAACAGGCAGAUGUUCAAGGCCAGACUAGAAUAUGCAAACUCUCAUUGGAGGGGGAAAGCUAAAUUCUUCUUAAAUACCAUCUUCAUUUAGAUUGGAGCUGGAGUGAGCCUUCCAGGAAUUUUGGCUGCCAAAUGUGGUGCUAAAGUAACACUAUCUGACAGCCCAGAGCUUCCUCAUUGUCUGGAUAUUUGUUGGCAAAGUUGCCAGAUGAAUAACCUGCCACAGGUGCAAAUUGUAGGACUGACGUGGGGCCACAUAUCAAAGGACACUUUGUCAUUGCCACCACAAGACAUCAUUCUUGGAUCUGAUGUUUUCUUUGAACCAGAAGGUAAGUCUAAUUUAUAGCAAACUUGGCCAGAUGUAUCUUAUAAAACUAACUUUAACUCCACCACUCCCCUCAGACUUUGAAAGCAUUUUAGCCACAGUAUACUUUCUGAUGCAGAAGAAUCCCAAAGUUCAAUUCUGGUCUACAUACCAGGUCAGAAGUGCUGACUGGUCACUGGAAGGCUUGCUCUACAAGUGGGAUAUGAGGUGUGUGCACAUUCCUCUGGAGUCUUUUGAUGCAGACAAGGAAGAUAUAGCAGAGUCUACCCUUCCAGGAAGACAUACUAUUGAAAUGCUGAUCAUCUCCUUUGCAAAGGAUAGUUCCUGAAUGAAUUAUACCUCAAGCUAUUCUGGGACAAUGUCUAAAUAACAUGGCAUAAAGAUGAAUUAUCUUGAGAAAACUCAGCGGGUGCAAGUCUUAAUGCUGUGAUGUCAUGCCUACGGCCAACAUUUAACUUCAACAAAAUUAAACAUUGAAAA
Molecule: long non-coding RNA, 806 nt
Filed under: Rattus norvegicus (Norway rat)
Lineage: Eukaryota; Metazoa; Chordata; Mammalia; Rodentia; Muridae
Description: long non-coding RNA NONRATT005098
Source: RNAcentral